Molecule: small nuclear RNA, 98 nt
Filed under: Moschus moschiferus (Siberian musk deer)
Lineage: Eukaryota; Metazoa; Chordata; Mammalia; Artiodactyla; Moschidae
Source: RNAcentral
GCUCUCUUCAGCAGGACAUCUACUAAAACGGGAAUGACAUAGAGCAGAGUAGAGUGGCCCCUGUGCAAGGAUAAAUGCAUAAAGUAUUUCAUAUUUUU